This is a long non-coding RNA of Equus quagga, 4534 nucleotides long. RefSeq lists it as uncharacterized. NCBI's taxonomy places the organism in Eukaryota, Metazoa, Chordata, Mammalia, Perissodactyla, Equidae. The record is from RefSeq and is a predicted model, not a curated record. The transcript has 3 exons.
GUCCGAGGGUGUUGUCUUGAUAUUCCUUCUAUGAAUUUAAUCUGGUGGAGCCAUCGUUUGACUCAGUAAAUAAAUGUAGUUUGGACUCGGAGACUGAAGGCAGUGAGGACCUUCCCUGCGAUGCAUCUGGAAACUGCCUCCAGCAUGUAAACUUGGGUAAUUAAUUGUAGGCAUCACUACUACGCUGCCUGCUGUCUUUGUCUGAAAAGAUGUUUUUCUGGGUUUCAGCAUUUUUUUAGGCAGGAAGGUAAAUCUGUUCCCUGUUACUCCAUAAUGGCCAGGAGCAAAAUCUUCUCUUUAUUUUUAAUUAAGAUGAAUAGCAAAUUGUUUCCUUUGUCUCAAGUAGAAGUGACAUGAAAAUACCAAUUCUUGCCACUAACGUGACUUGGAGAAAGAGCUACUCAACGGCUCUUUACCACUACAGUGAUGCAUGUAUUCCUUGAUAGGCCUAAAAUUUAAUCUGCGUCAAAGAGAAGCUUCUGCUACAUGACGUCUGCAGGAAUUAAGCCAGGGUUGAUUUGCUAAAUCUUGCUCCAUAGCCCCUCACUGCAGGAAAAAGAAAAGCUAUAUGCAGCCACAUAAACUAUUAAUCUUUUAACGAAUUUAGCUCUGCAAGGAGGUAGGAAAGGUUGGCUCGAAUCUGUUCAUCGCAUUCAGCUCACAGAGUUCAUUUAAAAGGGAUGCUAGUGUCUGGUUGGUUUAGUUUGUUGACUUGCGAGGAAAACUCUUGUUAGAGAGUUCCAAGGCUUCAGAGAAAUACCAGUAGGGGGCACCUCCCCACACACAUUUCUAUGAAGAAGAGCCAGUUUACAAUAGAUAGCCAAGAUGGUCUUGUAGAAAACAAACUUGCAGAAUGCCAACGUGCAAUUAGGUGACUCAAGGUGUAAAGGAGGCAAAAAUUUUCUUCUCUUUGCUUUGUUUUGUGUGGUGGGCUGAAUAGUGGCCCCAAAGAUGUUUGCAUUCUAAGCUUCAGAACCUGUGAAUGUUAUUUACAUGGCAAAAAGGAGACUGCGCAUAUGCUUAGGUUAAGGAUCUGGAGAUGGGAAGAUUAUCCUGGAUUAUCGGGGUGGACCCUGUGUAAUUACAAUGGUUUUUAUAAGAAGGAGGCAGCAGUAUCAGUCUGAGAAGAUGUGAUGACCAAAGUAGAGGUGAGAAAGAGAGAGAAAAAGAGAGAUGUGAAGAUGGUAUGCUGCUGGCUUUGAAGAUGGAGGAAGGACCCAAGAUCCAAGGACUAAAGGCAGCCUCUAGAAGCUGGAAAGCAUGCAUGCAGAUAUUUUCCUGGCCCAUCACUAUAGCAGCUGAGAGAGAGCCCGCAACCUGGAGGAGCUCAGAGGAGAGGAAGGCGAGAAGCUGGAGGAGUGAGAGCCUCUAGAGAAGAAAGGAAAAUCUGAGCGCACUUCAACCACAGAGGCCAGAGCAGCACAUCAAAGCCAGAAGUACAAGUCAUCAAAGUUCAGAUUCUUUCCUGCUUCUCUGUGGUGGAGUCGAGAAUACAAACAUCCUCAAUUGCUGUAGCAAGAGGAACAUUAGUCCAUCAACAGAACCAAACAGGAAGUACCAAAUGGGUAUUUCUUCUAUUUAUUUUGUGACCAUUAAGAAAGACAGAGUAGUUCUUUCAACCAAAUUUGUCCAUGAAGCACAGAACACAUAUAAGAUGUAAUCAUUUUAGUUAGUGGAAAAUUUGAUUGCAAAAAGAUUUAAUGCUGUUUUUCCAGUUAUUUUACUUACUACAAUUUAGGCAAUACUACAUUCUUAGGAUCUUAGAAUUGUACCAUAUCUUAAGUUAUUAUUUCCUUUCUUUAAACUAUGAACCAGAAACUUAUCAUUUGCUACAGCCUACUGAGAUUUGCAUUAUGAUUCACUUACACUUUAAUUAAAUUUCUCAAAUAUUUCCUUUCCAGAUCCAAGAGGAUGUGCAUAUAUUGAGCAGAAUACUUUCACCUCCCUUUAGUAUGUGAUAGAGUGCUAAAGUGUCAGAUAAGGCCAGGAAAUACCACAAAUGGUACUUCAGAGAUUUGUUUGCUUUGCCAAAAUUUUUAAUCUUGGUGUAACAGUUGGUUAUCUGCUCCAUUGCAUCAGAGUAAGUUCUACUACUCCACUGCCAGUGACAGCAGAUAAGCAAAAAUAAGGCACACUGUAAUGAUUUAAACAAGCCUAGGGAAGAAGCAAAAGGGAAUGUAAUUUGUAUUUUUUAUGAAUAUUUCCAGAAAUGAAUCAACAAGCCACUUCAUUAUUCUUAUAAUUACUUGGAAUCUCUUAAUUCCAGAAGAUUUUUUACCCUGCUAGUUAAAAGGAAAUGAAUGCUCCUCUUCAGCUUCCCUCAUUCUUUUUCUCAUCCAGCCGGUGGUGUACCAAGGACGGGAUGGUGGGAGUGGUCUACCCCUAGUAUAGGCAAUAAGGGAGUGCUUUGAGUGUAGAAAAUUUGAAAGGAAUAAAAUAAAAUAAUAGUAAAUACCAGUCUGCUUUUUAUUAUAACUAUGCCCUGACAAUUCUAAACAAUGGCAAUGAUACGACUCCUCUCUGAAAAAAAAAUUUUCGUUGUUGGUCUAAGUUCUAAACAACUGCUACAGUUACUGACAUUUAACAAUAUAUAUGUAAGCUGAAAAUUACCAUGUUUUUUAUUACUUAUUCUUUAGUAAACAUAAUAUUUGACAUGGAAGUAAUUCUAACUUCCCUGCACGUGAACUCAGCUGCACAUGUUUAUUUCAAGAAAAAGCAGCCAAGUUCUGUUUUUGCUUUUUCAUAACACUGUGCUAUAGCUGUUUAUUUUGAAUCUAUGUUUAAACACAGGGUUACAUAGUACCACAGAGGUUAGAGAUACGAACUGAGCCUGAAGUGAGCUCAAAUAAUCCUCAAUCCAUUACAAACUCUGGAGAAUUUUACCAAAUAUAAUAGAAAUUUAUGAUGAAUUUUCUGGUGAAGGUAUUUUAGUGGAAAAUUUUCAACUGCAGAAAUAUUUGAAAGGUGUUAGAACUGAUUCCAAAGAACAAAGACACAGAUGCUUAUUGUAAUUUCUGGAAUUUACUGUGAAAUGGGACUUUUUUGAAUCUCUGGUAAACUCAUCCUUAUUUUAAAGCUUUCCUAACCAAUUGUAUAUCUUUCUUCAUGUAAAAGAAACAUUUCAAAUUAAAAUAAAUGAAAAGUGUCCUUCAAUCAACUAUGAAUGAAGAUAGAUCGACAAACCUGGCUGAACUGAUUCUGUUGACCAUGAAUAUGUGAAUAUCAAUUUGAUAAAGCCGUUGACAAAUUUAUGGAAGUGAACCCUCAAAGCCAGAAACCGCGUGUCAACUCCUUUGGUAUCCAGGAAGAAUUUUAUUUUGGCUAUACAUAAUAAUAAAUAUAUCUCUGUUUUAUAGAAGAAAAAUCUAAAAAUGAGUAUCUUGCAGUAUAUUAGCAGAACGUACAUUCCUGUUGAAAAGGUUCAUGAUGACCUAGACAGAAUCUAAACAGUUGAAUGAGAGAAUGAUACUCAGGCCUGCAAGAUGUUAAAUAAUGUGAUAGAGCUAAUUUUAGCCUAAAUCCUGCUCAUCUCAAGGUAAUGGUAAGCUAUAAUUUCUGCAAUUUGUGUUAAUAAUGAAGACGCAUUAUUUUUAAACUAAUAUAUAAUCCAUUUUAUCUGGGUGACAUGUGACCUGCUAUAUUUGUUUCUAAGUUUUAAAGAAAAAAACAACAUCAAAUUUUAUUGGGAUAAUUAUAUGGUGCUCAAAAUAUCUGACUAUGUACUUUAGGCUAAGUUCAUAGCCUUUGUUGCAAAAAAGUAUUAAUGACUAUAUGAUACAGAUAUAUUCAUAUUUAUGACACUAAUGAGAAGAGCUAAUGCUCAUGAUUUGCUGGUAACACCCAUGUUUACAUUUUACUUUGUUAAAUGCAAUAUCCCUAUGAGCUGUAAAUGCUAUCAUUACACCUAUUUUACAGAUAAGGAAGCUGAGGCACAGACAAUAAAUAUUUGCUCAAUGUCACACAGCUGAUAAAUAGUAGAGGCAGUAUAUAAAUCUAAAUAAUCUGACUCCAGAACCCCUGCUCCUCACUGCCAUGCCACAGCACCUCUCAUAUAUGAGGAAAACGUAUAUAAGAAAAGUUGCUUUGUGCAGGAUUUAUAUUUGCUAAAUUUUGCAAUAGGGUCAUUAUUCAUCGUUUAGAAUUAGAAAUGCUCUAAUUGCAGAAUUAUUCUGGAUAAAUUGAAAAACAUUGAUAAUACUGAUGAUUACAGAGAGUCUUGAGGUCAAAUAAAGGUUGAAGAUUUAGAAAAACUAUGUUUCGAUCAAGUCUGAGAUUUCAGAUAUAUAUAGUAAAAUGGUUUUACAUACUUAAUGACUGUUCGUAAGCAAAAAUGUCUUGUGUGAUUUGGUUUUUUAAAAAAUGGUUCUGAGGGUAUUGAAUAUAAGUCUGUUUUGAUUUCUUUAGACAUUUUGCUCCUGCAUUUAAUAAUACCCGUGGCAGUUUUUGGGGACAUUAUAGAAUUUUGUAUAACUCUGAAGAUUACAUCUUUAGCAACUGAAGCAGAAAUUUUGCAAUUACCUUGAUUGUCUCAGAU